RNAcentral lists this small nuclear RNA (90 nucleotides) under Fukomys damarensis (Damara mole-rat). RNAcentral describes it as "U4 spliceosomal RNA (ENSFDAG00000003622.1)". The stretch from base 1 to 69 matches the Rfam family "U4 spliceosomal RNA". Rfam says of the family: U4 small nuclear RNA (U4 snRNA) is a component of the major U2-dependent spliceosome. The structure of U4 snRNA from yeast and human has been reported. U4 snRNA presents a k-turn RNA motif in the 5p-SL related to recognition of Snu13 protein. The record is from RNAcentral. Lineage: Eukaryota; Metazoa; Chordata; Mammalia; Rodentia; Bathyergidae.
AGCUUUGCGCAGUGGCAGUAUCGUAGCAAAUGAGGUUUAUCCGAGGAGCGAUUAUUGCUAAUUGAAACAGAGCUAACCUCAGCAAUGUUU